AGACCCGAAACCCGGUGAUCUAGCCAUGGGCAGGUUGAAGGUUGGGUAACACUAACUGGAGGACCGAACCGACUAAUGUUGAAAAAUUAGCGGAUGACCUGUGGCUGGGGGUGAAAGGCCAAUCAAACCGGGAGAUAGCUGGUUCUCCCCGAAAGCUAUUUAGGUAGCGCCUCGUGAAUUCAUCUCCGGGGGUAGAGCACUGUUUCGGCUAGGGGGCCAUCCCGGCUUACCAACCCGAUGCAAACUGCGAAUACCGGAGAAUGUUAUCACGGGAGACACACGGCGGGUGCUAACGUCCGUCGUGAAGAGGGAAACAACCCAGACCGCCAGCUAAGGUCCCAAAGUCAUGGUUAAGUGGGAAACGAUGUGGGAAGGCCCAGACAGCCAGGAUGUUGGCUUAGAAGCAGCCAUCAUUUAAAGAAAGCGUAAUAGCUCACUGGUCGAGUCGGCCUGCGCGGAAGAUGUAACGGGGCUAAACCAUGCACCGAAGCUGCGGCAGCGACACUAUGUGUUGUUGGGUAGGGGAGCGUUCUGUAAGCCUGUGAAGGUGUGUCGUGAGGCAUGCUGGAGGUAUCAGAAGUGCGAAUGCUGACAUAAGUAACGAUAAAGCGGGUGAAAAGCCCGCUCGCCGGAAGACCAAGGGUUCCUGUCCAACGUUAAUCGGGGCAGGGUGAGUCGACCCCUAAGGCGAGGCCGAAAGGCGUAGUCGAUGGGAAACGGGUUAAUAUUCCCGUACUUGGUGUUACUGCGAAGGGGGGACGGAGAAGGCUAUGUUGGCCGGGCGACGGUUGUCCCGGUUUAAGCGUGUAGGUGUGUGUUCCAGGUAAAUCCGGUUCACUUUAACACUGAGGCGUGACGACGAGGCACUACGGUGCUGAAGCAACAAAUGCCCUGCUUCCAGGAAAAGCCUCUAAGCAUCAGGUAACAUCAAAUCGUACCCCAAACCGACACAGGUGGUCAGGUAGAGAAUACCAAGGCGCUUGAGAGAACUCGGGUGAAGGAACUAGGCAAAAUGGUGCCGUAACUUCGGGAGAAGGCACGCUGACACGUAGGUGAAGUGAUUUACUCAUGGAGCUGAAGUCAGUCGAAGAUACCAGCUGGCUGCAACUGUUUAUUAAAAACACAGCACUGUGCAAACACGAAAGUGGACGUAUACGGUGUGACGCCUGCCCGGUGCCGGAAGGUUAAUUGAUGGGGUCAGCGCAAGCGAAGCUCCUGAUCGAAGCCCCGGUAAACGGCGGCCGUAACUAUAACGGUCCUAAGGUAGCGAAAUUCCUUGUCGGGUAAGUUCCGACCUGCACGAAUGGCGUAAUGAUGGCCAGGCUGUCUCCACCCGAGACUCAGUGAAAUUGAACUCGCUGUGAAGAUGCAGUGUACCCGCGGCAAGACGGAAAGACCCCGUGAACCUUUACUAUAGCUUGACACUGAACAUUGAGCCUUGAUGUGUAG
RNAcentral lists this ribosomal RNA (1449 nucleotides) under Salmonella enterica. RNAcentral's name for it is "partial 23S ribosomal RNA". It matches the Rfam family "Bacterial large subunit ribosomal RNA", at positions 711 to 2141 of the family's 2925-position model. Lineage: Bacteria; Pseudomonadati; Pseudomonadota; Gammaproteobacteria; Enterobacterales; Enterobacteriaceae. The record is from RNAcentral. RNAcentral also lists the same sequence under 1 other name.